Non-coding RNA from Zasmidium cellare ATCC 36951, 94 nucleotides. Lineage: Eukaryota; Fungi; Ascomycota; Dothideomycetes; Mycosphaerellales; Mycosphaerellaceae. The record is from the annotation of a RefSeq genome assembly.
UCCCCCGUGGCGCAAUUGGCUAGCGCGUUCGACUGUUACCACUCUCACGAGUCAAGCAAUCGGGAGGUUGGUGGUUCGAGCCCACCCGGGGGAG